This is a long non-coding RNA of Empidonax traillii (willow flycatcher), 429 nucleotides long. RefSeq lists it as uncharacterized. NCBI's taxonomy places the organism in Eukaryota, Metazoa, Chordata, Aves, Passeriformes, Tyrannidae. The record is from RefSeq and is a predicted model, not a curated record. The transcript is spliced from 3 exons.
GAAGAAAUAUGGAGUUGAUUUGUCAGAGGGAGGAAUGGUGUUCUGUUUUACUCUACCAGCAUCUUACAGCCUUUCUGUUAUGACACUUGAAGAAGUUCUCUACCCAAGGAAUUAGGAUUUUGCCCAGGGAUCUAAAGUCUGAAUCCAUUGUGGGAUUCUCUGAUCAGGAGAGUGAAGAUUGUGUUUGUAUCCUUAGCUGUUUUUUGAAGCAAAACUUCAUAAGGCAGAUCAGUAGCUUAAUGACUGCAUAAUUAAUACACAACCACAGGAACAGUGAGAAUGCAGCAAUUCCUACUCUUGCAUAAGUGGGUGAAUCACAAAGCUCUCUCUUCUUCUGCCUCCUUUAUUCCAACCUGAGGAAUAGCUAGUUCUACCAGGAGUGAUACUGUGGGUUACUACACCCUUCUUCACAGUUGUUCUACAGCUUGA